AGCGACUGGAGUAUUUUAUUCUAAUUCAGCAGAAGCUGUGCCCAGCCCUGGAGAUGCAAGGAGGAGUGAGAUGCGGUCACUGCCUACCCAUGCUUCCCUUGUUACCUAUGUGCUGAUGACUCCCAGGUUUUUACCUCCAACCCCAACCUGUAUUCUAAGGAGCAGAUUUCAACAUCCA
Molecule: long non-coding RNA, 178 nt
Organism: Physeter macrocephalus (sperm whale)
Lineage: Eukaryota; Metazoa; Chordata; Mammalia; Artiodactyla; Physeteridae
Exons: 3
Source: RefSeq, a predicted model, not a curated record